Molecule: microRNA precursor, 191 nt
Organism: Oryza rufipogon (brownbeard rice)
Lineage: Eukaryota; Viridiplantae; Streptophyta; Magnoliopsida; Poales; Poaceae
Rfam family: MIR812 microRNA precursor family
Source: Rfam
AAAAACUCCAUUUUUUCAGUUUUUGGAUACAACGUUUGACUCUUCAUCUUAUUUAAAAAUUUUAUAUGAUUAGUAUUUUCAUUGUUACUAGAUGAUUAAACAUGAAUAGUAUUUUAUGUGUAAUCUCAUAACUUUUUAAAAUAAGAUGGACGGUCAAACGUUAUACCCAUAAAUCUAAAAAUGAAAUCUUU